GUAGGUGCAAGCGUUGUCCGGAAUUAUUGGGCGUAAAGCGCGCGCAGGUGGUUCUUUAAGUCUGAUGUGAAAGCCCCCGGCUCAACCGGGGAGGGUCAUUGGAAACUGGGGAACUUGAGUGCAGGAGAGGAAAGUGGAACUCCACGUGUAGCGGUGAAAUGCGUAGAUAUGUGGAGGAACACCAGAGGCGAAGGCGACUUUCUGGCCUGUAACUGACACUGAGGCGCGAAAGCGUGGGGAGCAAACAGGAUUAGAUACCCUGGUAGUCCACGCCGUAGACGAUGAGUGCUAAGUGUUGGGGGGGUUUCCCGCCCCUCAGUGCUGCAGCUAACGCAUUAAGCACUCCGCCUGGGGAUACGGUCGCAAGACUG
RNAcentral lists this ribosomal RNA (371 nucleotides) under uncultured organism. RNAcentral describes it as "partial 16S ribosomal RNA". It matches the Rfam family "Bacterial small subunit ribosomal RNA", at positions 528 to 896 of the family's 1533-position model. The record is from RNAcentral.